Molecule: long non-coding RNA, 1477 nt
Organism: Limulus polyphemus (Atlantic horseshoe crab)
Lineage: Eukaryota; Metazoa; Arthropoda; Merostomata; Xiphosura; Limulidae
Exons: 5
Source: RefSeq, a predicted model, not a curated record
UUUUUGUAGCUAUAAGUACGUACAGUACCAACAGCAGCAAAUGUUCCGAGUUCGACUCCUCCGUCCAUAUUGAAAGUUUUUAUGAUAAAGAAAAUAUUAGCUUGGUGCCAAACCGAAAUUCCGUCAGACGUCUUCAGAUGAAAAACACUGAAUACGUGGUAUUCUUUGAAUGGUGAUACUGGGAUUGGUCAGAACGGAUUUAUCAAUGUCAUCUUACAACAGUCUUGGUCCAUUGACAAUCCAAAUCUGGCAGUUACUUCUCCACUUUUAGUUAGAAGCAUGUCGUUUUCCAAGAAUCCAGAACACCACCGACAAUAUUAUAUGGUUUCAGAAGACCAAUGUCAUCAGGAUGUAACACAGAUCCACGAGAUGUUUCCCAGUCUGCCAGAAGAAGUUAUCUGCUCUGUCUUGAAAAACAAAGGCGGUAACCAGGAGCUCGCUAUCAACAUGCUGCUUCGGAUGGGAAGCGAGAUCUAGCCAUGAAACUAAGAACUGGAGGAUGUAUAUAAAUGUGUUAUAAGUGAUACUGCACACCCGUGUAACACACGGGAACUUGAACUAUGACAACCCACCACACACACACACACAAUUUGUCAAUGACUAUGACAACCCCCACACCACAUAUUAUUAUUAGUUAAUGACUAUGACAACCCCCACAACACAUAUUAUUAUUAGUCAAUGACUAUGACAACCCACCACACAAUUUGUCAAUAAUUAUGAUAACCCACCACACAAUUUGUCAAUAAUUAUGACAACCCACCACACAAUUUGUCAAUAAUUAUGACAACCCACCACACAAUUUGUCAAUAACUAUGACAACCCACCACACAUUUUUUCAAUAAUUAUGACAACCCACCACACAAUGUGUCAAUAAUUAUGACAACCCACCACACAAUUUGUCAAUAAUUAUGACAACCCACCACACAAUUUGUCAAUAACUAUGACAACCCACCACACAAUGUGUCAAUAAUUAUGACAACCCACCACAUCAUUUUUAUUGUAGUAAUGAAAAUUGAACUUUCUGCAGACAGAAAAUGUGUUUGAAAACAUAUUUUGAUUUAUAACCGUUAUUUUGUUAAUACUUGUGUAUCAGUUUUUAAAGUAAAGUUAAGUAAAAGCAAAUUGUCGUGUACUUUAACUUCUACGUGCGAGUUGAAUAGAACGAUUUAACUUUUAUGUCAAUGAAUAUUUGAUUACUAUAAUUAUUUAUUACAUUGAAUAAUGUGGUAUCAUAUCAUGCGAGUCUCGUGUAUAAUGUUGUAUCUAGUAUAUUAGCUUUGGUGUCGUAGAUGCGAGUCUCGUGUAUAAUGUUGUAUCUAGUAUAUUAGUUUUGGUGUCGUAGAUGCGAGUCUCGUGUAUAAUGUUGUAUCUGGUAUAUUAGUUUUGGUGUCGUAGAUGCGAGUCUCGUGUAUAAUGUUGUAUCUGGUAUAUUAGUUUUGGUGUCGUAGAUGCGAGUCUCGUGUAUAAUGUUGUAUCU